GGGAAUAUUGGACAAUGGGCGAAAGCCUGAUCCAGCAAUGCCGCGUGUGUGAAGAAGGCCUUCGGGUUGUAAAGCACUUUAGGAUGGAAAGAAAAAACUUUAGUUAAUAGCUGAAGUCUUGACGGUACCAUCAGAAUAAGCACCGGCUAACUCUGUGCCAGCAGCCGCGGUAAUACAGAGGGUGCAAGCGUUAAUCGGAUUUACUGGGCGUAAAGCGUGUGUAGGUGGUGGCGUAAGUCGAUUGUGAAAUCCCCGGGCUCAACCUGGGAACUGCUUUCGAUACUGCGUCACUAGAGUACGGUAGAGGGUGGUGGAAUUUCCGGUGUAGCGGUGAAAUGCGUAGAUAUCGGAAGGAACACCAGUGGCGAAGGCGACUUCCUG
This 381-nucleotide ribosomal RNA is filed under the name Alexandrium margalefii. RNAcentral describes it as "partial Bacterial small subunit ribosomal RNA". It matches the Rfam family "Bacterial small subunit ribosomal RNA", at positions 357 to 731 of the family's 1533-position model. The record is from RNAcentral. Lineage: Eukaryota; Dinophyceae; Gonyaulacales; Pyrocystaceae.